AACAAUAUACAUCAACCAUUGAAACUUUAAACAUCCAUUUGGAAUAUUUACAUACGCUUACAUUCAAAUGUGUUGCUCAGCUGUGUUUUUAUAGGUCCCAUGGAAUGAAAAG
Long non-coding RNA from Etheostoma cragini (Arkansas darter), 112 nucleotides. RefSeq lists it as uncharacterized. The record is from RefSeq and is a predicted model, not a curated record. The transcript is spliced from 4 exons. Lineage: Eukaryota; Metazoa; Chordata; Actinopteri; Perciformes; Percidae.